This 256-nucleotide ribosomal RNA is filed under the name uncultured bacterium. Its description in RNAcentral is "partial 16S ribosomal RNA". It matches the Rfam family "Bacterial small subunit ribosomal RNA", at positions 524 to 776 of the family's 1533-position model. The record is from RNAcentral.
UACGAAGGGGGCUAGCGUUGCUCGGAAUCACUGGGCGUAAAGGGUGCGUAGGCGGGUUUUUAAGUCAGGAGGUGAAAUCCUGGAGCUCAACUCCAGAACUGCCUUUGAUACUGAAAGUCUUGAGUAUGGGAGAGGUGAGUGGAACUGCGAGUGUAGAGGUGAAAUUCGUAGAUAUUCGCAAGAACACCAGUGGCGAAGGCGGCUCACUGGCCCAUAACGUGACGGCUGAGGCACGAAAGCGUGGGGAGCAAACAGG